UCGUGAUGAAACCUAAACUGAUGAUGCUGGAAUUACCGUCAGACUGUUCGCUGGUGAACCUUGGUUUUCUGAAU
Small nucleolar RNA from Synchiropus splendidus (mandarinfish), 74 nucleotides. Lineage: Eukaryota; Metazoa; Chordata; Actinopteri; Syngnathiformes; Callionymidae. The record is from RefSeq and is a predicted model, not a curated record.